GUCUACAGCCAUACCACCUUGAAUGUGCCUGAUCUCAUCUGAUCUCAGAAGCUAAGCAGGGUUGGACCUGGUUAGUACUUGGAUGAGAAUAAAGCAGUGUCCUUAUUCUACACA
Molecule: ribosomal RNA, 114 nt
Organism: Fukomys damarensis (Damara mole-rat)
Lineage: Eukaryota; Metazoa; Chordata; Mammalia; Rodentia; Bathyergidae
Source: Ensembl